AUGAUAGAGGGAGGGGACAAUGGAGAAGGUGAUGAGGAGGAAGAUGAAUUUGGGCCAUUACUGAAGUUUGAGGAUGUGAUGAGAGAGGCAGAGGCUCGUGGGGCUACACUUCCUGCUGAUAUGAUAGAGGCUGCAAAGAGUGUUGGGAUCAGGAAGCUACUUUUGCUUAGAUAUUUGGACUUGCAGGGGUCAGCUUUGCUCGGCACUGCAAUGAGGUCGUGUGCUAUGCUGCGGAACAGAAUGUUGGCUGAUCCAUCAUUUCUUUUCAAAGUUGGAACUGAGAUAGUCAUUGAUACUACUUGUGCAACAGUAGCAGAAGUUCAAAAGAGGGGCAAAGAUUUUUGGGCGGAAUUUGAAUUGUAUGCUGCAGAUAUGUUGGUUGGUGUUGCUGUCAAUGUAGCUCUAGUUGGGUUGCUAGCACCAUAUGCUCGAAUUGGGCAACCUUCUGUAUCUCAAGGUUUUGUUGGUCGUUUUCAGAGAGCUUAUGGAGCACUUCCAAGCAGCGUUUUUGAAGCUGAAAGGCCAGGGUGUAGAUUUUCAUUGAAUCAGAGAAUUGCUGCUUAUUUUUACAAGGGCAUUCUAUAUGGAUUCGUUGGGUUUGGAUGUGGUAUCAUUGGCCAAGGAAUUGCAAAUAUGAUAAUGACUGCCAAGCGG
Molecule: unclassified non-coding RNA, 654 nt
Filed under: Hevea brasiliensis (rubber tree)
Lineage: Eukaryota; Viridiplantae; Streptophyta; Magnoliopsida; Malpighiales; Euphorbiaceae
Source: RNAcentral